GUUGGUGCCCAUAGAGAGGCGGGUACACCCGGCUCCAUUCCGAACCCGGAAGUUAAGCGCCUCAUCGCCGAUGAUACUGCAUAUUCAUGUGUGGGAAAGUAGGACGGUACCAACU
Molecule: ribosomal RNA, 115 nt
Filed under: Deltaproteobacteria bacterium
Lineage: Bacteria; Pseudomonadati; Myxococcota; Myxococcia
Source: RNAcentral